This 514-nucleotide ribosomal RNA is filed under the name uncultured bacterium. RNAcentral's name for it is "partial 16S ribosomal RNA". It matches the Rfam family "Bacterial small subunit ribosomal RNA", at positions 28 to 523 of the family's 1533-position model. The record is from RNAcentral.
GACGAACGCUGGCGGCGUGCCUAAUACAUGCAAGUCGAGCGAACAGAUGAGAAGCUUGCUUCUCUGAUGUUAGCGGCGGACGGGUGAGUAACACGUGGGUAACCUACCUAUAAGACUGGGAUAACUCCGGGAAACCGGGGCUAAUACCGGAUAAUAUUUUGAACCGCAUAGUUCAAUAGUGAAAGACGGUUUCGGCUGCCACUUAUAGAUGGACCCGCGCCGUAUUAGCUAGUUGGUAAGGUAACGGCUUACCAAGGCGACGAUACGCAGCCGACCUGAGAGGGUGAUCGGCCACACUGGAACUGAGACACGGUCCAGACUCCUACGGGAGGCAGCAGUAGGGAAUCUUCCGCAAUGGGCGAAAGCCUGACGGAGCAACGCCGCGUGAGUGAUGAAGGUCUUCGGAUCGUAAAACUCUGUUGUUAGGGAAGAACAAAUUUGUUAGUAACUGAACAAGUCUUGACGGUACCUAACCAGAAAGCCACGGCUAACUACGUGCCAGCAGCCGCAGUAA